Long non-coding RNA from Chinchilla lanigera (long-tailed chinchilla), 2043 nucleotides. RefSeq lists it as uncharacterized. The record is from RefSeq and is a predicted model, not a curated record. The transcript has 3 exons. Lineage: Eukaryota; Metazoa; Chordata; Mammalia; Rodentia; Chinchillidae.
CUCACCAUGGACAAGCAGAAGCCAGGACUAGGCUUUGGCCCUCCAGAGCCCUGAGCUAGGCUGACAGGAAAUGGCCUACCAUUGGUGAGUGAACAGGAAAACUGCGCUCACGGAUCACUUCUCACAUCAGAAACCAACCUCCUCAGCAAGAGCUAUUUAAAUGUGAUGCCGUGAAAUGGAAGCAGUAUAAAGAAAGAAGACUUCGGGAAAGGAAAUUAAUGUGAGAUUUACAUCAUAAUGGAGGAGGAAAUACCUAUUGAACUAUAAAUUUGGCCCACAACAACUCACUCAUUGAUUUUCAUUCCUUCAUUUAGUCAAUCAAAUGUACUUUCUGGGUAUGUAUAACUCACCUCUCCAUCUUUAAGAGGCUUGCAAUAAAAAGAACUUGCAGCGAGAAGUAAGGUGAUGGUAUUUUAAAACUGUGCUGCAGGGAACACGAUGGUCGCAAGAGGAGAACCUCAGAAAACUGAGUGAAGGGGAAUUGUCUCAAAGGUUGGCAGUUUAGAUAUUUGUUACUUCAGGGCAACACAGCCUUCCUUCCUCAUUUCCCUCAGAAUGAACAAAACCAAGGGUACAAGCCAAACAAACUUGCAUCUCUCCACUUUUUAUCCACAACCGUGUCUUGCGGGGGAAACCACCCUAGGUCCAUGGAACUGUCUGGUGACCAGACUGUUAUGUUUUGGCAAGGUCUGUGAUCAAAGCACGGGUCCGUUUCCGUGCAGCCCUGCCGCAGCUGACAGUUCCCAGUGUGAAUAGUAAAGGAGGCUCAUCUUGCUUCUGUAAGGAACAGUGCCAUGGAGUACCGAUAAACACAGAAAACGAUGAAGAUGUUGAUUUUAAUUAAAUGAAUGCCUCCAUGCUUUUUCCUGAUUCUUUUCUUUCUUGAUUCUUUAUUUAAGAUAAAGCCUUUGUUUAAUGUGAUUUCCCAACAGAAGACUUCAGGUGAAACUAUAGUUUUUACAUAGCUAAGACCCAAAAGAAGCCCUUUCUCAGACAGGCUUUGCUAAAGGUGAGCUCUGUGCACCUGGUUGUUCUGCAUUUAUUAUAACCUGCAGAAGACAGUGGAGCCUGGAACUCAGAGAAACAGGAGCAAGGGAAAGACUUCAGCUUAUUAUGCACUGAUUUAAGCAUAAUUAUGCUCACUGAGGAGAGAGGAAAGCACAUUUGAUUUCUAGUACAAGUAUGUAGAUCCUGCUCAUGAAAAGCUUCAAACCAUUUUUCACUAAACCCACCUACUGAAUCUUGAUCUCCAGCAUUUCAGGGUAUUACGCCCUUUGCAGGCAGAUUCUUCACUAAGGUGACUCGGUUCACAGGAGGUGUUUAUGAUGGGCACAAGCACACUCUGGCUGGUGUCCUUCCAGGGAGGAAAGUUUGGAGGCAACGUGCACAGAGGGAGAAGACCACUGAAGAUGAAGGCAGAGCGGAGCUGACUCCAGAGAUUUCCAGAAAAACUGAACCUAACAGAGAAGCCCGGGUCCAUUUUCCUCCCAACCCUCCGGAGGAGUCAAGCAGCCAACCCUACACCUCCUCUGUGCUUCACAAUGCAGACAAGGAAUUACCGUGGCACUUCUGGUGCCGUGGUAACACCCACCACCCUAGCAGAUUCGCACACUGGGUCUUUUAAUGCUCUUCAAAAUACUGCAUACUGCUCUGUGGCUCCUGGUAUUAGUAAUGAUAACAAUGGCUAGUUUUGCUUUUUGUUUUGAGCACUUCACAUAUCCCAAGCUUUGAUUGAUCAACUUUGACUCAAUAGGAUGAAUGGAGAAUGAAGGAAAGAUUUCUUAUUUGGGAAUAAUAAUUAUAUGAUUUUAUUAACAUUAAUAAUUAAUGUUAAGUAUAUUUUAUGAAGUCACUGAGGAUUUUGGAAUGACUUUAAAGGAGCUAAUAUUAUUUAUCGUAAUAGAGAAAGUAUUACCUCCAGGUACGUUACUGCUCCGACAAAAUCCAAAUCUAUUAAGCUUUAGGGUUGAUGGAACGCAACACCAAACUGCUGCUUAGGGCAUGGCAAGUUUGCUGAAAACCACUAUCCACUGUGGCCUAGAA